UUGAUCCUUAAAUAGUGCUCAGCUGAGGCUGAACUUUAUGCAGCUUCCAUUUGGCUCUGGACACUUGAGCAACUGAGUGUCUGACACAUGUACAGAGCCCACAAGCUGCCAUGAGCUAUUUCUACAUGUAACUAGGUGACUACGCCUUGCAGCUUCCCCUACGUUAUAAGCUUUUUAACUUCAUUAUGUGAUCAGGCAUGUUGCCAACUUUGAAGGCCAUUCCACACAUCUGAGUGAUCUGGCUUGCCGUCCAGGUGAUUUAAGUGCCAAUCUUGAUAAAGGUCCGCAUAAGGACCGAAACGUCGAUGAAAUACGGCAUCAACAGUGAACCCGA
Long non-coding RNA from Pseudophryne corroboree (corroboree frog), 334 nucleotides. RefSeq lists it as uncharacterized. Lineage: Eukaryota; Metazoa; Chordata; Amphibia; Anura; Myobatrachidae. The record is from RefSeq and is a predicted model, not a curated record. The transcript has 4 exons.